GUCACGUCUGGUCAGAAUGGGGACAUUUAAUCUUAUGUCUAGUUGUAGAGAGAAUGCACUCUUUGAGGAGUUCGUAGUUGGUCUACUGAAAAGCAAAGUGUCUGCUCCUAUCCGCAAUUUUCCAAUGCAUGGCAUUUUCAAAUUUCCAGACCUUCAUCAUGUACAACACUUAUUACAGGACUAAGCUCUCUGUUGUGUUUAUUGUAAAUAAUCAAUGUUUUUUUUUUUUGUUCUUAAGUUGCAUAAAUAUUUUACACUGGAUGUUUAAAAUUCAAUCUAUCAACUAGCUUCCAGUAGUUUUGAGUACUCUCAGAUCUACGUGUAAUGACCACAAUUAUUCAAAUUCCUAAGCAGGUAUGGAUUUUACAGUAGAGCGGGAUAUAAAGAAAUACGAAUUUCAUGAAUUUUGUUAUGUUAGUAUGAACAGAACAGACUUAUGCAUUAUGCAUCGACUAUGUGUGUAUGUGUUUGUGUGGCUAGGGUGAAGGUUUAGAAUUAAAAAAUUGAUGGUUGAUGUCUUUCUAGCUAAAAGGAUAGUGUUAUUAUAUAUAUCAGUGUUUACGUGCACGUGCCUAUUUUUUUU
Molecule: long non-coding RNA, 583 nt
Filed under: Mytilus galloprovincialis (Mediterranean mussel)
Lineage: Eukaryota; Metazoa; Mollusca; Bivalvia; Mytilida; Mytilidae
Source: RNAcentral